This 690-nucleotide ribosomal RNA is filed under the name Triticum aestivum (bread wheat). RNAcentral describes it as "partial small subunit ribosomal RNA". The record is from RNAcentral. Lineage: Eukaryota; Viridiplantae; Streptophyta; Magnoliopsida; Poales; Poaceae.
AUGGAUUCAAUCAUUCAAGGUCAAAAACAACUGGUUUUGGUCAUUACAACUGUUGUGCUUCUAUUAGCAUCCUUUUUCUCCUUCAUCGCUUGGUUUGGACUGGUCAAAAGGCACAUAAAAGUGAGCCCACAGGAAGGUGAAGAACUAGUCUGGGGAACUGGGAGGAGUUCAGAGUUCAAGCUUUUUGACUUCACACAAGUAUCAGAUGCUACAAGUAAUUUCUCAGAUGAAAAUAAAUUGGGGCAAGGUGGCUUUGGCCCAGUAUACAAGGGCCAGCUUCCGAAAGGUUUGGAGAUAGCAAUUAAGAGACUUGCUUCAAACUCUGGCCAAGGUUUCACUGAGUUCAAAAAUGAAGUCCAACUCAUAGCCAAGCUCCAGCACACAAAUUUGGUUAGGCUGUUGGGAUGUUGCUCGCAAGGAGAGGAGAAAAUAUUGAUCUAUGAAUAUUUGCCAAAUAAAAGCUUGGACUCCUUUAUCUUUGAGAUAAUGAGGUGUAUCAACAUCGCAUUGCUGUGUGUACAAGAGAAUGCAGCUGACAGACCCACCACGACAAGCAUGGUUACAAUGCUAAGCAGCGAAAGUAUGACCCUGCCUGAACCUAAGCAUCCAGCGUAUUUCCACAUAAGGGUAACAGAGGAAGAGCCACCUAGUGCUAAUGAUGUGACGAUGUCUGCUCUACAGGGCAGAUAG